This 1322-nucleotide unclassified non-coding RNA is filed under the name Bartonella phoceensis. RNAcentral's name for it is "partial 16S-23S ribosomal RNA intergenic spacer". The stretch from base 493 to 566 matches the Rfam family "tRNA". The record is from RNAcentral. Lineage: Bacteria; Pseudomonadati; Pseudomonadota; Alphaproteobacteria; Hyphomicrobiales; Bartonellaceae.
UAGAGGCCAGCAACCACGGUAGGGUCAGCGACUGGGGUGAAGUCGUAACAAGGUAGCCGUAGGGGAACCUGUGGCUGGAUCACCUCCUUUCUAAGGAUGAUCAAGAAUUGGAAACCUUUGAAAAAAGAACAUUCCUUUUUGAUCUCAUUAGACACAAAGGUUUAAAACAAGUCAGUUUAAACCUUAUGCAUAUGACACGAACACUUCGUGCGACCCUCUCUCAGACGAGAGCCCUCUUUGUUCAAAAGAGUUCCCGCUCUCUUGAGGCUCCUACCUCAUUGAGAAAGGUGUUCCGUAAGAGAUUAGUGCUCAUGUGUUAAGUUAUACAGGCAGACUAGCCGUCUUCGUUCUCUUUCUUCAGAUGAUGAUCCCAAGCCUUCUGGCGAUCUCUUAUAAAGAAAGCCCUCCAUAAUAGAUUGAAAAGGGUCCUUUGGGGAAAAGUUUUCCCUUUGAUAAGAUGAAGCCGGGGAAGGUUUUCCGGUUUAUCCCGGAGGGCUUGUAGCUCAGUUGGUUAGAGCGCGCGCUUGAUAAGCGUGAGGUCGGAGGUUCAAGUCCUCCCAGGCCCACCAAUCAUUCUAUCAAUCUAUAAGCGCUUGUGGAAAUUGCUCAUAGAAAACUUUCUUUAUUCAUUUAUGAAAAAUCUCCUUAUAGAGAUAGAGAGAGACGCUUUUCCCUUUGGGUUUGAAAACUCAAGAUUACAGGUGUUAAAGUGGCUUUAAAGGAAAAGUGACAAAGAAUAAGGAAUAACGAUUUAAGUUAUCCCUUUUUGGUGAUCUUGAUUUGGGUGUUUUGAAUGCGUUAUGUUUUUUAGGGGGGCCGUAGCUCAGCUGGGAGAGCACCUGCUUUGCAAGCAGGGGGUCGUCGGUUCGAUCCCGUCCGGCUCCACCAUUUGGUCAUCAUCAUUGUUGUGAGAACACGCUUUUGUGAGAGGUUCGUAAACCUUUUGCUUGUUCUAUUGAAAUUGUGAAGAGAAGAUAUAUUCAGACAUGUUCCUUUUGAAGUGUUUGUUCUAGAGAGCAAAAUUUGUUCUAAGAAAAAUCAUUUGAAGAAGAAACAUUGUGUCGCAAGGGAAUGCUCAAAGCCCUUGCUUAUGAUUGGAAGCUUAACCGCGCCAUUGAAUAUAUCUCGAGAAGCUGGUCUUUUCUGCUGAUAUUGCUGUUUGUUUUGCGCUUUGUUUUGCACAAGGCAAAGAGAUGUAGACAAAUAGCUCCAUAGCCAAAUAACAAAAGAUUUAUGCUUUAUGCAUGAAGAAUUUUUAUUGGUGGAAUUGAAUGAAUAUUGGCAAUGAGAACGAUCAAGUGUCUUAAGGGCAUUUGGUGGAU